GCCCUGCUGAUGGAAUUGGCAGACAUGCCUGUCUUAGAAACAGGUGGCCGGAAGGUCGUGGGAGUUCGAGUCUCUCGCGGGGCACCA
This 87-nucleotide transfer RNA is filed under the name uncultured archaeon. Its description in RNAcentral is "tRNA-Leu(tag)". It matches the Rfam family "tRNA". Rfam says of the family: Transfer RNA (tRNA) molecules are approximately 80 nucleotides in length. The record is from RNAcentral.